GAUGAACGCUGGCGGCGUGCCUAAUACAUGCAAGUCGAGCGAACGGACGAGAAGCUCGCUUCUCUGAUGUUAGCGGCGGACGGGUGAGUAACACGUGGAUAACCUACCUAUAAGACUGGGAUAACUUCGGGAAACCGGAGCUAAUACCGGAUAAUAUUUUGAACCGCAUGGUUCAAAAGUGAAAGACGGUCUUGCUGUCACUUAUAGAUGGAUCCGCGCUGCAUUAGCUAGUUGGUAAGGUAACGGCUUACCAAGGCAACGAUGCAUAGCCGACCUGAGAGGGUGAUCGGCCACACUGGAACUGAGACACGGUCCAGACUCCUACGGGAGGCAGCAGUAGGGAAUCUUCCGCAAUGGGCGAAAGCCUGACGGAGCAACGCCGCGUGAGUGAUGAAGGUCUUCGGAUCGUAAAACUCUGUUAUUAGGGAAGAGCAUAUGUGUAAGUAACUGUGCACAUCUUGACGGUACCUAAUCAGAAAGCCACGGCUAACUACGU
This 496-nucleotide ribosomal RNA is filed under the name uncultured bacterium. RNAcentral's name for it is "partial 16S ribosomal RNA". It matches the Rfam family "Bacterial small subunit ribosomal RNA", at positions 28 to 506 of the family's 1533-position model. The record is from RNAcentral.